GCGGGGGUAGCAAAGCCUGGUCAAAUGCGCAGGACUUAAGAUCCUGUCGGUUAGUCCGUCCGUGGGUUCAAAUCCCACCCCCCGCA
RNAcentral lists this transfer RNA (86 nucleotides) under Candidatus Woesearchaeota archaeon. RNAcentral describes it as "tRNA-Leu". It matches the Rfam family "tRNA". Rfam says of the family: Transfer RNA (tRNA) molecules are approximately 80 nucleotides in length. Their secondary structure includes four short double-helical elements and three loops (D, anti-codon, and T loops). Lineage: Archaea; Nanobdellati; Candidatus Woesearchaeota. The record is from RNAcentral.